CCAUGAUCCAUCGGCCUAUCUACAGCAACAGAAUAUAGUAGUUUAAAUCCUGAACCCGAACAGGCUGGUUUCUGCGUCAUACCUUCUUCAGUUCCGCAGCUGUUAUGUUGUUAAAUUUGAAAGGUACCUAACCCUCCUACAACACGGCAGAUACGUCCCUUAUUCCAAUGUCCAAGGUUCCGUGUUGUGCGAAACUGUGUUAUAUAAGACUAGAAGUCAGUAUACAAAGAAGAGUAUUUUUUCCGAAUGAAACAUCUCGAUUGUGCCAUUAUGUAUUGUUUUACGAAUAUAAAUAAAAAAUAAACAGUAAAA
Long non-coding RNA from Bombyx mori (domestic silkworm), 312 nucleotides. RefSeq lists it as uncharacterized. The transcript has 2 exons. Lineage: Eukaryota; Metazoa; Arthropoda; Insecta; Lepidoptera; Bombycidae. The record is from RefSeq and is a predicted model, not a curated record.